AUAAAAGCAUUGACGUAGAAACAAAGUGCCUGUGUAAUUGACAGAGAUCCAGUUGAGCUGAGAGCUGGGAGCAGACAUGAUCCACCUCUACUAGCUGAAAGGAUGAAUUUUAGUAGUCUGUUCCGGUGAUUCCGUUAUCGUCAGGAGUUAACGCAACUCCAUGAGGCAGUAACUGUGAGGUUACUGUAAAAUAGAGGUGGAACAGUGAUGAAUAUCGCCCUCUAA
RNAcentral lists this non-coding RNA (225 nucleotides) under Limosilactobacillus reuteri. Lineage: Bacteria; Bacillati; Bacillota; Bacilli; Lactobacillales; Lactobacillaceae. The record is from RNAcentral.